GACGAACGCUGGCGGUGUGCCUUAUGCAUGCAAGUCGAACGAGCCCCGCAAGGGGCGUAGUGGCAAACGGCUGAGUAACACGUGAGUGACCAACCCUUUAGUGGGGGAGUAAUCCGCCGAAAGGCGGUGUAAUACCGCAUACGAUCCCGAGGCUACAUGGCCUUGGGAGGAAAGCCGCAAGGCGCUGAAGGACGGGCUCGCGGCCUAUCAGGUAGUUGGCGGGGUAACGCCCACCAAGCCUAGACGGUAGCUGGUCUGAGAGGACGACCAGUCAGAC
This 277-nucleotide ribosomal RNA is filed under the name uncultured bacterium. RNAcentral describes it as "partial 16S ribosomal RNA". It matches the Rfam family "Bacterial small subunit ribosomal RNA", at positions 28 to 313 of the family's 1533-position model. The record is from RNAcentral.